CCUACGGGUGGCAGCAGUGGGGAAUAUUGCACAAUGGGCGCAGCCCUGAUGCAGCGACGCCGCGUGAGUGAAGAAGUAUUUCGGUAUGGAAAGCUCUAUCAGCAGGGAAGAUAAUGACGGUACCUGACUAAGAAGCCCCGGAUAACUACGUGCCAGAAGCCGCGGGAAUACGUAGGGGGCAAGCGUUAUCCGGAUUUACUGGGUGUAAAGGGUGCGUAGGUGGCAGGGCAAGUCAGAUGUGAAAGCCCGGGGCUCAACCCCGGUACUGCAUGUGAAACUGCCCCGCUGGAGUGCAGGAGAGGUAAGCGGAAUGCCUAGUGUAGCGGUGAAAUGCGUAGAUAUUAGGAGGAACACCAGUGGCGAAGGCGGCUUACUGGACUGUAACUGACACUGAGGCACGAAAGCGUGGGGAGCAAACAGGAUUAGAUACCCGGGUAGUC
This 440-nucleotide ribosomal RNA is filed under the name uncultured bacterium. RNAcentral describes it as "partial 16S ribosomal RNA". It matches the Rfam family "Bacterial small subunit ribosomal RNA", at positions 338 to 795 of the family's 1533-position model. The record is from RNAcentral.